Long non-coding RNA from Etheostoma spectabile (orangethroat darter), 101 nucleotides. RefSeq lists it as uncharacterized. The transcript has 4 exons. The record is from RefSeq and is a predicted model, not a curated record. Lineage: Eukaryota; Metazoa; Chordata; Actinopteri; Perciformes; Percidae.
UACAUUGACAAUAUUAAGUAAUAAAAUAUUUCUCAGUUGUCUAUAGGAGCAGCAUAUAGUUGUCACAAGCCUAAAGCGCCCUCUCGCGGCUGUAGACAAUG